AGAUGAAAGAUGUUGAUACGUGCAGUAAUUAAAUUUCCUCGACCAAUUUUGCCAACGAAAAAUCUCUCGGAACUCUCUGGAGACAAAAUCGGUCUCAAGAACCCUUGGCAAUAUUAAAAUUCCCUGACCUUCCUGUAAAACUUGUUCACUUGACAAAUUGGAUAUUUUUUCGCCGAGAGAAUUAUUUAAAAAAAUCUUUCUUAAUUUAUUUCCAUUAUUAUUUUAAGCCGUAACCUUUUACCUUCUGUUUGAGUGAAGAUUAAAUGUCAUUGUUUUUCUAUCUAAAAUUAAAGUUUUCUACUGUUAGUUCAAAUAUAUAGAGACACCGGAAGAAUUUAUAAAAUGUCGUAUUUUUUACUUUCUGAUAAUGGAAUGCUGCAGAUAUUUAGUUUUUCAAUGAAAUACUGUUCCUACAUAUUGAUGGCUAUUUAUUCAUUUUUGCAAAUACUGAUAUUUACGUAGAAAUAGUAUGAAACACAUAAAUUGUCAAGGCGACAGUUAAUAAAUUAUUUCGACGUCUCAAAAUCUGCAGUAUGAAAAUGGAAUGUGGAUUGUAUUUCUAUAAAUAUGACUGAAUCAUCGAGCUGAGGCAAGUAAAGAAAUUGAUAGAUAUUAUCACUUUUUAAAAUAGAAAAAUGGCGAUAUCUUCCUCAUUGUUACUUAAAUAAAGGAUACCCUUGUGAAUCGGAUAUAUGUCAGCUAAAUCCUUUGAUUAGUAUCACAUUAUUCCAUUAUGAAACCCAGUUUCCUUUACUGGGUUUCAUAUCGAUACUAAGUUUAAAGUUUCCGGUUCUCGGGGGCUUAUCUUUUAAUAUAGUUGUGGAGUAGAUUCUAGUUUAUAAUAAUUCAUUUUAGUUUAAUUUGUUACUAGUUUGGUAUAAUACAGUCGUCGUAUAUAUCAAUACAAUGAAGACUCUGAAGAGGACUUUUCUACCAAGCUUUAACAGCAGAAACACUUGAUACAUUUCACCAAAGAGAAGUUAUCAGUUAACAGCUUCUCUUUGUUUACUUGUAAACUUGUAAAUAAUUUGAAAAUUUAUAAAUUUUAUAUUUUAU
Long non-coding RNA from Eurytemora carolleeae, 1056 nucleotides. RefSeq lists it as uncharacterized. The record is from RefSeq and is a predicted model, not a curated record. The transcript has 2 exons. NCBI's taxonomy places the organism in Eukaryota, Metazoa, Arthropoda, Copepoda, Calanoida, Temoridae.